CACAAUGAUCGUAGGCACUGCUUUGUUGC
This 29-nucleotide non-coding RNA is filed under the name Rattus norvegicus (Norway rat). The record is from RNAcentral. Lineage: Eukaryota; Metazoa; Chordata; Mammalia; Rodentia; Muridae.